GAAUAAACCUCGAGUAUCCUGCCAGAAUGGGGGAAGGAUGUUUGCUCAGCUGCCUAAAUUUGGAAUGGAGAUAUGAGGAUUCCCAUUGCCCAGCAGCUCCCCCAAAGAAGGCAGCAGACCUUCCAGAAUCAUCUAGGACCAGAGCAAUGGACCACAGGCAACAUCUCACCAACACUUCAGCUCACAUUGGUUAGCACUCUGCCUGACAGCCAGGAAGGGAAGGAAGAAUGCAGGUUGCAGAACUUGAGACUGGAAGACUUCAUUUGGGGAAAGACCCCUUUGAGUAAACUUGAAAGGAGAAGAGGAAGGCCACCUACCAAAACGAGCCAGCUUCCCCCUAUCUCACCUGCCAACUUCCCAACAAAGGGGGAGCAAAAUAACACUCAAAUUCUAAGUGCUUUUAGGGGUUUGCAAGCAUCUCAAGUAAAUCAUCCUUCCUUUCUUUUAUGCCCAAUAAAACUAUUUAA
This is a long non-coding RNA of Canis lupus familiaris (dog), 467 nucleotides long. RefSeq lists it as uncharacterized. The transcript is spliced from 3 exons. Lineage: Eukaryota; Metazoa; Chordata; Mammalia; Carnivora; Canidae. The record is from RefSeq and is a predicted model, not a curated record.